This 282-nucleotide long non-coding RNA is filed under the name Lathyrus oleraceus (garden pea). RNAcentral's name for it is "Pisum sativum (pea) long non-coding RNA (PSAT_LNC007093)". The record is from RNAcentral. Lineage: Eukaryota; Viridiplantae; Streptophyta; Magnoliopsida; Fabales; Fabaceae.
AGAAAGCAACGCCCUAAAACUACAGUCGCAUAAUGAACCACCAUCCAACAAACCACCAGAUAGAACUAUGAACGCCAAACCCACCAUCAACAGGCCAAAAACACCAUGGCUAAACCAUUAACCACUAAAUUACUAUGAAUCAGGUUGUACCACUGGCUCCACUAUUAGUUAAUACAUUGAAUAUGAUUCCGAAGGCAGACAGAGAAAGAGAAGGAGGUCACAGGCAACCUACUACAAAUCUAACUCCAAGCCAAAUAAAACACUCUUCUCUUCCAACUCUUU